Long non-coding RNA from Trichechus manatus latirostris (Florida manatee), 2581 nucleotides. RefSeq lists it as uncharacterized. The transcript has 4 exons. NCBI's taxonomy places the organism in Eukaryota, Metazoa, Chordata, Mammalia, Sirenia, Trichechidae. The record is from RefSeq and is a predicted model, not a curated record.
CGAGAGAAAGCACCGCCUCCGCAUGCUUGGCGUGAGGGCUAGCAAGUGCUUUCCUCCUGCCCCUGUGGUGCCAAGUGUGGGCGGGACAGAAGAAGAAAAAUAUCACUAAAGCUGAAGAGACCUGAGUGAUCAGGGUUUGGAACCCUGAAGUCACAAGGCUUCCUAUGGAGACCACUCUGGACUAGGUUACGCUCUCUCUGAGGUCAAGGGUCACCUGAUUGAUGCACCUCAUUUCUGGACCUGUGAAAGGCAGUCCCCAGAUGGCCCAGGUCCCACGAAGACAGGGGAAGAAAAUAAUGCUGGAAAUGGUUUGAGACACAGAUCCUGAUGGACCAAAGGAAGAUACAGAGCUCUUGAGCAGUGUCCGGCUGGCAUAGAACAAUGAACUAUUUAACUCCAUACAAAAGAAAGCCAAGUGUGAGUAUGUCAGCCCAUGACUCAAGGAAAGGCCCCUGCGAGAGACCAUCUCAGAAACAAUGAGGAACUUGUCCCUUCCAGGAGAGGCUGAGGGCCUUCCAGGAGUGGUGAGUCCCAGCAUAGGCUGUCGAGGCAACAGAGAAGGACUUGGUCCUUCUUCACUAUUCUAUUGGAAUUUUCCCACUGCUAAGAAAAUGGCCCAAGGAUCUCAUCCUGAGGAGGCAACUGCUGCAUUGAAAAUUGACAUUCAGAAGAGCAGGGGUGGGAGGACAAGUCUGUGAAGCGAAUUCUGAGAAAUUCCCAAACCUGGGUCAGUGGUGGGCAUAAGUACUAACUGAAUCUACAAUUGCACUUAUAGGGAACUGAAAUAUUGUUCCACCGUUCAAGAUUCCAUAGUCUAGAAUCAGGACACUUGAAUAUUUGAUAAAAGAUAAUCAGUAGGUUGAUAUUCUUUAACUCUUAUGAACAAUUUCCCUUUAAUCAAUAUGUGAGUUCAGAUGGAAAAUAGUACUGAAAGAUAUGUAAGUCAUAAAUUCAUAUAUAUUCACAAUGGAGGAGUGAAAAAUCUUCACAUUAAUAGGAAAUGCCAAGCAUCUUGAAAAGUUUCUCAAUCUAAAUAGUAGGGCUUCCGUAUUUAAAAGUAUCACUUGUAACUUUUAAAACCACAGUUUCUAUUCUCCGUAUCUCUCACUUACCCAGACACUGUCCUAUGCCAUGGAACUAGCAUGUAGUAUCAGUCCUCCAGAAUUCUGUAGUAAGCUGUUUAGAUUCUCUUUCUUGACCUUUAGAAUCACAGAGAAGGCCUUACACAUAGCAGCCAUUUGAUAAAUAUGUAUGAAUGACUAGAAUCUUUAUCACCAUCAUAAACUUGUCAGUAUUUGGUUUCAUCCCUAGAUGGCUGUAUUUAGUUUGAGUGUGUACAGGGUCCUAAAGAAUGGGAUUAUUCCACAGAAGUCUCAGUGCUUGGCCAGGCAUGGUCUCUGAUCUUAUAGACAGAUGCUGAGUAGCAAGGAGUUUGGACACAGAAUCAGAAGAAUGACCACUGUUAAUAACUGAGAGGUGGUCCGGUCUAGGAAGCAGAAGGUGGUAUAGGAAAGACUCAGCAAUAAGUUAUAUUCUAGGCACGCAGCUGGCAACAAGAUUUAAGACAAUAAGAAUGUGUCCCAAGAGGGAAAACUCAGGAUGAAAAUCCCUAUGGCUUGCUGAUACAAACAUUAAAAGGCAAGCCACAGACAGGGAGAAAAUAUUCCAAAAAAGGAUUUAAAAAACAUAUCUAGAAUACAUAAAGAAUUCUUAUAAUUCAAUACUAAGAAGAUAUGCAACCCAGUUUAAAAAAUGAGCAAAAGAUUUGAAUAGAGAUUUCACCAAAAAGGACAUACAGAUUGCAUUUAAGUACAUAAAAAGAUACCCAUUAGUCAUCAUGAGAACCACAAUGAGAUACUACUCCACCCACUAGAAUGUCAAAAAUUAAAAAGACUGACUUGCCAACUCUUGGCUAAAUCGUGAAGAAACUGGAACACUUACGCACUGCUGGUGGGAAUGUAAAAUGGCACAACCACUUUGGAAAACAGUUCAGCAGUUUCUUACGUAGUUAAACAUACACGUAACCAUAUAACCUAGUCAUUCUACUCCUAGGUAGAGCAAUGUAAUUAUACAACCACACAAAAGUUUGGAGGCCAAUGCCCAUAGCAGCUUUAUUAAUAAUAACCAAAACUAGAAACGAUCCAAAUGUCCAUCAAUAGGUGAAUGAAUAAACAAAUUGUAGCAUAUUCAUACAGUGAAAUACUAAACAAUAAAAAAGAAUUAACUUUUGAUAUGUUUGACAUGAAUGAAUCUUAAAAUAAUUAUGCUGAGGGAAAGCCAGACAAAAAAAAGAGUACAUGUUAUAUGAUUCAUUUAUAUAAAAUUCUAAAAAAUGCAAACUUAUCAAAAUAAAGCAGAUCAAGUGGUUGCCUGGAGAUGGAGAGGGAUUACAAAGAGAUACGAGGAAACUUUUGGAGAUGAUGGAAUGUUCAUUGCCUUGGCUGUGUUGAUGGUGGUACCAAGUGUAUACAUAUGUCAAAACUCAUCAAAUUUUAUACUUUACACAUGUGCAGUUUAUUGUACUUCAGUUGUACAUCAGUGUAACCAAAAAACCCAACCCAUUGCCAUCGAGUCGAGUCUG